Molecule: ribosomal RNA, 305 nt
Filed under: uncultured bacterium
Lineage: Bacteria
Description: bacterial SSU rRNA
Rfam family: Bacterial small subunit ribosomal RNA
Source: RNAcentral
CCUACGGGGGGCAGCAGUGGGGAAUAUUGCACAAUGGGGGAAACCCUGAUGCAGCGACGCCGCGUGAGUGAAGAAGUAUUUCGGUAUGUAAAGCUCUAUCAGCAGGAACGAGACAAGACGGUACCUGACUAAGAAGCCCCGGCUAACUACGUGCCAGCAGCCGCGGUAAUACGUAGGGGGCAAGCGUUAUCCGGAUUUACUGGGUGUAAAGGGAGCGUAGACGGCAUAGCAAGUCUGAUGUGAAAGAUCGGGGCUCAACCCCGGGCCUGCAUUGGAAACUGUUAAGCUGGAGUACAGGAGAGGUA